CCUACGGGAGGCAGCAGUGAGGAAUUUUGCGCAAUGGGGGAAACCCUGACGCAGCGACGCCGCGUGGAGGAUGACGGCCUUCGGGUCGUAAACUCCUGUCAGAGGUGAAGAAUCCCCGCAAGGGGUUGACGGUAACCUCAAAGGAAGCCCCGGCUAACUACGUGCCAGCAGCCGCGGUAAGACGUAGGGGGCAAACGUUACUCGGAAUUACUGGGCGUAAAGGGUGUGUAGGCGGCCGAGCAAGUCAAAGAUGAAAUCCCGAGGCUUAACUUCGGAACGG
Molecule: ribosomal RNA, 280 nt
Filed under: uncultured bacterium
Lineage: Bacteria
Description: partial 16S ribosomal RNA
Rfam family: Bacterial small subunit ribosomal RNA
Source: RNAcentral